CUCAGGAGUUAAGAGCCUGGGCCACCAGCUCAUUGGGGUGGGGGUAGUGCUCCGAGUCCACACUUGUUCCUCCCACCCUUCCUCCACCCACCCGGUGUAACACUGGAUGCUGAGCCGGUGUGCGCAGAUCCCCAGGACGUGAGUGCGUGCAGAGGUCUGUGUUCGUGCGCUGGGGGCGGGAGAUGGGUUCGUGGGUGUACCUGGAGUCUUUCUGCGUGCUGCCCUGCGGGGUGCCUUGUUGCCUGGCGGCCAGAGGCUGAGUGUGAGCUGAGCCCCCCACCUCCCCGGCCCGUGCACCCGCGGAAAGAGGCUACUCUGCGCCCCCGGGAGUGGUGGCUCUUCUGAGCGGUCUGGGCCUUGCUCUGCUCCCUUUAGCCUCUCUGCUUCUGUCUCCCGGGGUCUCCUCGCACCCUCUUCUGCAAGGGUUUCCAAUUUCCUCAUCAGUUUCUCCGACCAGGUCCCUGGGGCUUUGCGUGCCCUUUCCAGUCGCUCGGAUUUAUCUAGCAGCGGGAGGUCGGGGGAACGCGAUUAGGUCAAGAGGGUGACCUCUGGAGGAGGGGGAGCCGUGCGGCAAGGGGAGGAGAGGAGGUUCCGGGACAGAGCUAGAGAUGCGGGGGGCGGGGGGCGAUAACUUAGCCAGCAGUACCCCCUCCGCCAAAACCCAAGGCACCUCCCACCCUCGGUCCUGCUCCCCGGACGGGACAAGGGGCGGAGUCUCGUCGGCCCCACUUGAGGCCACUCAGCUGCGCAGGCCCCCGGGCCCCUAUGCCCCCCCACCCGCUCUCCCCGCCCGCCCCCAGGCCGCCCCGAGUCCACUCCAGAUCCGGGCCGGGUUUCCCCCGCGUCGCUGGGGUCUCCGCCCCUCGGAGCCGCCGCCCCGGCCCAGGAGAGCAACGCAGCGGGAGGCGCCCGCAGCGCCGGGACCCCGAAGCUCCCCGCGGGCGCUCGCUUGCGGGACUGAGCCGCGGCAGACCCCACAGCCGCACUCGGACUCCGAGUCGGGGCUGCUCCGGUCCCCGCGCGUCACCCGAACUCGACCCUCGGGGCUCCGAAGUGACCCCUCUCCCGGCCCAGUUCGCUGUCCGCGUGGCCCGCCCCAGGCUCCGGCUCCGGCGAGCUCCGAGAAGCUGUCGACCUCAAGGGCAUCAAUAUUUCAGGUGUGUGGGGUGCGGUGGAGGUGGAGUGGGGGGCUCCCAGCAUGCCCAGCGAGGACAAUAAUCAUCCCCUCCCAAGAGUGGUCAUUCAUAUUUAUAAGAUUGAAAGAAUGGAACCAAGGAUGCGAGAAUGUGGAGGGUAAGGGAAACGCUGCCCCUCUUCUUGGAGCUGGGUCCAGGAGAUGCCUGAACUACAUCUCCCACAGUGCCCUGGAGGCACAGGGCUGCCUCUGCCUAGACACCUUAUGGGAAUGA
Molecule: long non-coding RNA, 1409 nt
Filed under: Canis lupus familiaris (dog)
Lineage: Eukaryota; Metazoa; Chordata; Mammalia; Carnivora; Canidae
Description: lncRNA (ENSCAFG00040011241.1)
Source: RNAcentral